UUCCCAUUCCGCAAGGAAGUAAGAUCCCUGAAAGAUGAUCAGGUUGAUAGGUCUGAGGUGGAAGUGUGGCGACACAUGGAGCUGACAGAUACUAAUCGAUCGAGGACUUAACCAAUUU
RNAcentral lists this ribosomal RNA (118 nucleotides) under Bacillus amyloliquefaciens. RNAcentral's name for it is "partial 23S ribosomal RNA". It matches the Rfam family "Bacterial large subunit ribosomal RNA", at positions 2811 to 2925 of the family's 2925-position model. Lineage: Bacteria; Bacillati; Bacillota; Bacilli; Caryophanales; Bacillaceae. RNAcentral also lists the same sequence under 1 other name. The record is from RNAcentral.